This 65-nucleotide transfer RNA is filed under the name Chaetosoma scaritides. Its description in RNAcentral is "tRNA-Val". Lineage: Eukaryota; Metazoa; Arthropoda; Insecta; Coleoptera; Chaetosomatidae. The record is from RNAcentral.
CAAAUUGGAGCUUGAAUAAGCAUUUUAUUUACAUUAAAAUGAUAAUUAUUAUUAAUUUAAUUUGA